AAUUUUGGACAAUGGGCGCAAGCCUGAUCCAGCAAUGCCGCGUGCAGGAUGAAGGCCAUCGGGUUGUCCCCUGCUUUUGUACGGAACGAAAAGCCCUGGGUUAAUACCCUGGGAGCAUGACGGUACCGUAAGAAUAAGCACCGGCUAACUACGUGCCAGCCGCCGCGGUAAUACGUAGGGUGCGAGCGUUAAUCGGAAUUACUAGGCGUAACGCGUGCGCAGGCGGUUUUGUAAGACAGAGGUGAAAUCCCCGGGCUCAACCUGGGAACUGCCUUUGUGACUGCAAGGCUAGAGUACGGCAGAGGGGGAUGGAAUUCCGCGUGUAGCAGUGAAAUGCGUAGAUAUGCGGAGGAACACCGAUGGCGAAGGCAAUCCCCUGGGCCUGUACUGACGCUCAUGCACGAAAGCGUGGGGAGCAAACAGG
RNAcentral lists this ribosomal RNA (424 nucleotides) under uncultured bacterium. Its description in RNAcentral is "partial 16S ribosomal RNA". It matches the Rfam family "Bacterial small subunit ribosomal RNA", at positions 360 to 776 of the family's 1533-position model. The record is from RNAcentral.